Long non-coding RNA from Bufo bufo (common toad), 396 nucleotides. RefSeq lists it as uncharacterized. NCBI's taxonomy places the organism in Eukaryota, Metazoa, Chordata, Amphibia, Anura, Bufonidae. The transcript is spliced from 2 exons. The record is from RefSeq and is a predicted model, not a curated record.
GAUGCCUUCAGCUGCCAAGCGCACAUGUAACAGGUCAGCCAGUGUCAUAGGGACAAAGCUGCUGACAGAUGGCCAUUAAAAUGUACACUACUUAAAGGGGUUGUUUGGUUUCCUCUUGGCCUGGCUAUAUUUACCUGGCUGCAAAAGUGAUAUCAUGUCAACAACACAUGACUUGCUGCAGCCAAUCACGUGUUGUGGACAUGACAUCACAGCUUCAGCCAGGGAAGAAGCGGAGCGACGGCUUGGGAUCUGUGAGGUAACCGCUUACCGAUUCUGUAUUUCAGGCAGAUGCUGGGGUUUGUCCACGGUCAGGUGAAUCUCUCCAACCAAUCAGUGGAGAGAGGAGUACUGUUUUGCAUACAGCCCAUCUCCUUCAUCGCACCCAGUAGUCAAAUG